GACCGUGUAUAGCUCAGUUGGCAGAGCAUUGGGCUAGUAUUCCAAAGGUCGUAGGUUCGAAUCCCACCGUGGCCG
RNAcentral lists this transfer RNA (75 nucleotides) under Paramuricea clavata. Its description in RNAcentral is "tRNA-Thr". The stretch from base 10 to 67 matches the Rfam family "tRNA", at positions 8 to 63 of the family's 71-position model. From Rfam's summary of the family: Transfer RNA (tRNA) molecules are approximately 80 nucleotides in length. Their secondary structure includes four short double-helical elements and three loops (D, anti-codon, and T loops). The record is from RNAcentral. Lineage: Eukaryota; Metazoa; Cnidaria; Anthozoa; Malacalcyonacea; Plexauridae.